CCAAGGAGUCUAACACGUACGCGAGUCGCUCGGUCUUGAAUAGGCCAGAGAGGCGCAAUGAAAGUAAAGUUGAUUGAGUUAUGAUCUCUGUCGCGGCUAGCCUCCUCUUCGGUGGCGAGCGGGCAGAGCGCAAUAACAGCCCGCUAGUUUCGCUUACUGACGAUUUAGCGGAGUUGUAGCGUAUGCGUUGGUACCCGAAAGAUGGUGAACUAUGCCUGGGCAAGACGAAGCCAGAGGAAACUCUGGUGGAGGUCUGUAGCGAUUCUGACGUGCAAAUCGAUCGUCAGACCUGGGUAUAGGGGCGAAAGACUAAUCGAACCAUC
RNAcentral lists this ribosomal RNA (323 nucleotides) under Rhysotritia duplicata. Its description in RNAcentral is "eukaryotic LSU rRNA". It matches the Rfam family "Eukaryotic large subunit ribosomal RNA", at positions 666 to 944 of the family's 3401-position model. Lineage: Eukaryota; Metazoa; Arthropoda; Arachnida; Sarcoptiformes; Euphthiracaridae. The record is from RNAcentral.